CACGUAGGGUGCGAGCGUUGUCCGGAAUUAUUGGGCGUAAAGAGCUCGUAGGCGGUGUGUCGCGUCGGCCGUGAAAACCUGCAGCUUAACUGUGGGCUUGCGGUCGAUACGGGCAUCACUGGAGUUCGGCAGGGGAGACUGGAAUUCCAGGUGUAGCGGUGAAAUGCUUAGAUAUCUGGAGGAACACCAGUGGCGAAGGCGGUGUUCUGGGCCUGUACUGACGCUGAGGCGCGAAAGCGUGGGGAGCGAACAGG
RNAcentral lists this ribosomal RNA (254 nucleotides) under uncultured bacterium. Its description in RNAcentral is "partial 16S ribosomal RNA". It matches the Rfam family "Bacterial small subunit ribosomal RNA", at positions 524 to 776 of the family's 1533-position model. The record is from RNAcentral.